UGCAUAUCUAAAUAAUAUGAACAAAAUAAUAUGAAAAUAAAAAAUUUGAACAUAACAGUCAAUCUUAAUAAAAAACGUUCUAUCAGGUUAAAAUUUCAAUAAACAUCCAUACAUUUAACUUUACACUUACAUGAUUGGAAAAUGAUUUGAAUAACAUAUAUCAUAUUUGAAACUUACAUUGCAGCAAUAAAAUCAGUGAAUAUCGAACCUUAUUACUUUAACCUGUUAAAAAUUUUGUGUCAAAAUGCAGUUCUAUGGUAUCUUAUAGAAAAAGAAAAUUUCAAAAUUUAAUGUAAUAUUUUCCCUCUGUUCCAUUGAUAUCAAAUCACAUUAAGACGGCCAUAUUCCAUGAGAUAAUUCAUUGCACAUUCCAGAACAAGAUUUCAAUCAUUUCAAAUAGAAUUGUCCAAACUAACAUAUACUACUACUAGUGAAGAUAUUCAGCAAGAAAAUUAUUCUAAUUUGAUUCCAGCACUGUUGCUUAUAAUUAGCCAUAUGAUUAAAAAUUCCCCAAAAAUAUACAGUUUACACUAUAUUGAACUGUGCAAUGAUUGAAACCACAGAUUUAGAACAUAAAACAACAAAUUUCCGAUAGCAGAAACUUCUCAAAUUAGAAUAAAAAUAACUUUAAAUAAUGCAUACUCAAAUUUCAUAAUUUUUCC
RNAcentral lists this long non-coding RNA (662 nucleotides) under Mytilus galloprovincialis (Mediterranean mussel). The record is from RNAcentral. Lineage: Eukaryota; Metazoa; Mollusca; Bivalvia; Mytilida; Mytilidae.